UUAAAUUGAAGAGUUUGAUCAUGGCUCAGAUUGAACGCUGGCGGCAGGCCUAACACAUGCAAGUCGAACGGUAACAGGAAGAAGCUUGCUUCUUUGCUGACGAGUGGCGGACGGGUGAGUAAUGUCUGGGAAACUGCCUGAUGGAGGGGGAUAACUACUGGAAACGGUAGCUAAUACCGCAUAACGUCGCAAGACCAAAGAGGGGGACCUUCGGGCCUCUUGCCAUCGGAUGUGCCCAGAUGGGAUUAGCUAGUAGG
Molecule: ribosomal RNA, 257 nt
Filed under: Escherichia coli O121:H7 str. 2009C-3299
Lineage: Bacteria; Pseudomonadati; Pseudomonadota; Gammaproteobacteria; Enterobacterales; Enterobacteriaceae
Description: partial 16S ribosomal RNA
Rfam family: Bacterial small subunit ribosomal RNA
Source: RNAcentral